GUGCUCACCUCUGGCACAUAUACUAAAAUUAGAACCAUACAGAGAAGACUAGCAUGGCUCCUGUGUAAGGAUGACAGGCAAGUUUGUGAAGCAUUCCAUAUUUUU
This is a small nuclear RNA of Rhinopithecus bieti (black snub-nosed monkey), 105 nucleotides long. The record is from Ensembl. NCBI's taxonomy places the organism in Eukaryota, Metazoa, Chordata, Mammalia, Primates, Cercopithecidae.